RNAcentral lists this ribosomal RNA (461 nucleotides) under uncultured bacterium. Its description in RNAcentral is "bacterial SSU rRNA". It matches the Rfam family "Bacterial small subunit ribosomal RNA", at positions 338 to 795 of the family's 1533-position model. The record is from RNAcentral.
CCUACGGGGGGCUGCAGUAAGGAAUAUUCCGCAAUGGGCGAAAGCCUGACGGAGCGACGCCGCGUGAAGGAUGAAGUCCUUCGGGAUGUAAACUUCAAUAGUUUGUCAGGAAGUGAGGCGACCUAAUACGUCGCCGAGUUGACCAGCGAACGAAAGGGACGGCUAACUCCGUGCCAGCAGCCGCGGUAAGACGGAGGUCCCUAGCGUUGUUCGGAAUUACUGGGCUUAAAGCGCGUGUAGGCGGAACGGUGAGUACCUUGUGAAAUCCCCGGUCUCAAGCCGGGAACUGCUCGGUAUACUAUCGUUCUUGAGGCAGGUAGGGGUCACUGGAACCUUAGGUGGAGCGGUGAAAUGCGUAGAUAUCUAAGGGAACGCCUGUGGCGAAAGCGGGUGACUGGGCCUGUCCUGACGCUGAGACGCGAAAGCGUAGGGAGCAAACGGGAUUAGAUACCCCAGUAGUC